UCCGGUGAACUGAUAGGCUGAUCUUCACCGAGUAUCCCCCUCUGGGUCCAACCUCCCACCCGUGUUUAUUUUACCUUGUUGCUUCGGCGGGCCCGCCUUAACUGGCCGCCGGGGGGCUUACGCCCCCGGGCCCGCGCCCGCCGAAGACACCCUCGAACUCUGUCUGAAGAUUGUAGUCUGAGUGAAAAUAUAAAUUAUUUAAAACUUUCAACAACGGAUCUCUUGGUUCCGGCAUCGAUGAAGAACGCAGCGAAAUGCGAUACGUAAUGUGAAUUGCAAAUUCAGUGAAUCAUCGAGUCUUUGAACGCACAUUGCGCCCCCUGGUAUUCCGGGGGGCAUGCCUGUCCGAGCGUCAUUUCUGCCCUCAAGCACGGCUUGUGUGUUGGGCCCCGUCCUCCGAUCCCGGGGGACGGGCCCGAAAGGCAGCGGCGGCACCGCGUCCGGUCCUCGAGCGUAUGGGGCUUUGUCACCCGCUCUGUAGGCCCGGCCGGCGCUUGCCGAUCAACCCAAAUUUUUAUCCAGGUGACCUCGGAUCAGGUAG
RNAcentral lists this ribosomal RNA (541 nucleotides) under Penicillium sp. DX-SES1. RNAcentral describes it as "eukaryotic LSU rRNA". The stretch from base 203 to 355 matches the Rfam family "5.8S ribosomal RNA". Lineage: Eukaryota; Fungi; Ascomycota; Eurotiomycetes; Eurotiales; Aspergillaceae. The record is from RNAcentral.